RNAcentral lists this ribosomal RNA (482 nucleotides) under uncultured bacterium. RNAcentral's name for it is "partial 16S ribosomal RNA". It matches the Rfam family "Bacterial small subunit ribosomal RNA", at positions 30 to 507 of the family's 1533-position model. The record is from RNAcentral.
AUUGAACGCUGGCGGCAUGCCUUAUACAUGCAAGUCGAACGGUCACAGGUCUUCGGUUGCUGUCGAGUGGUGGACGGGUGCGUGUUAGAUACGCAUGUGUCCGCUACUGGGGGAUAUCGGAGCGCAAGCUUUGCUCAUACCGCAUACGAUCUAAGGUUUAAAGCCGCGGGCUGCAAGGCUUUGCGCGGGUGGUGCGGUCGGUGGUAGAUUAGGUAGUUGGUGAGGUAAUAGCUUACCAAGUCAACGAUUAGUAGCUGGUCUGAGAGGACGACCGGCCACACUGGAACUGAGACACGGCCCAGACUCCUACGGGAGGCAGCAGUAGGGAAUCUUGGACAAUGGGCGAAAGCCUGAUCCAGCCAUGCCGCGUGCAGGAUGAAGGCCUUCGGGUUGUAAACUGCUGUUAUACGGAACGAAAAGACGCUUACGAAAAAAUAGAGGCCAUGACGGUACCUAAAGAAAAAGCACCGGCUAACUACGUG